Molecule: ribosomal RNA, 459 nt
Filed under: uncultured bacterium
Lineage: Bacteria
Description: partial 16S ribosomal RNA
Rfam family: Bacterial small subunit ribosomal RNA
Source: RNAcentral
CCUACGGGAGGCAGCAGUGAGGAAUAUUGGUCAAUGGGAGAGAUCCUGAACCAGCCAAGCCGCGUGAGGGAAGACGGCCCUAUGGGUUGUAAACCUCUUUUGUCGGAGAACAAAACCCGGGACGUGUCCCGGACUGCGUGUAUCCGAAGGAAAAGCAUCGGCUAACUCCGUGCCAGCAGCCGCGGUAAUACGGAGGAUGCGAGCGUUAUCCGGAUUUAUUGGGUUUAAAGGGUGCGUAGGCGGUCCGUUAAGUCAGCGGGAAAAUUGCGGGGCUCAACCCCGUCGAGCCGUUGAAACUGGCAGACUUGAGUUGGCGAGAAGUACGCGGAAUGCGCGGUGUAGCGGUGAAAUGCAUAGAUAUCGCGCAGAACUCCGAUUGCGAAGGCAGCGUACCGGCGCCAGACUGACGCUGAGGCACGAAAGCGUGGGGAUCGAACAGGAUUAGAUACCCUAGUAGUC